This 1812-nucleotide long non-coding RNA is filed under the name Homo sapiens (human). RNAcentral's name for it is "HSALNT0170941". Lineage: Eukaryota; Metazoa; Chordata; Mammalia; Primates; Hominidae. The record is from RNAcentral.
CCUGGGUUUCCUGUGUCCUCACCGCCCGCUUAUCAGCAAGAUGGGGAUGUGGAUGACAGGAGUGCUGGCCACGGAGGGCCUGGUGUGGGUGGCCGUCGGGACGAGGGUAGUGUGGGCGGCCACGGCAGUUGGUGCUACUGCUGGGAGGGGCCGAAGGUGAGGCCCUCCUGGGCUGUGGGUCCCUGUAAGCCACUGCCCCCGUGGGGUGUGCAGUCACCAAGCCGACCUGCUGCCGGGGUUCCGCCCCCUCCCUUUCCCUUCUGCUUCCCCGGCACCUGUGUCCCAAGCCUGAAGCCCUGUCCGUGUCAGAGGUGGCACCUCCCUGGGCACGGGCACUUGGACGCUGGUGCCUCCCCUGCUGCGGACCCCUUUGCUGUGGUCAGGGCCUCCUCCCUGCACUGGCCCCGCCUGUGACCGCAGGCCUGGCGGGGCCCUCAAUGGCCACAGAGGGCACAGGCCGGGGCCAGGAGGGCACCGUCUCCUGGGGCACAGAUAUGCUGGAGUGAGCUAUGGAAUUGUCCAUCAGCAGCGGCAAGCUUUGCUGAGCGCCAGCUGUAUGCAGAGCAAAGGCGGGCCAGCCGGGAAGGGCCAGUGAGGACCUGGAGUCCCCAGCAUCCCCAGGAGCCUGCACCCCUACGCGGGGGACGCCUGGGCAGCUCCUCCCUCCUCCACUCCCCGCCCUCUCCUCCCCUCCUUCCUGCAGUUCCCACAGCUGUUUGGGUGCCUCCCGUGGCGCCUGGUUGAGCUGCAGGGGGAGAUGUGUGUGGACACUGCAACCCUCCCGAAGCUGGGCCUGGAAGAAAUGACUUCCCCAGAACCUUAUCUGGGCCGGAGAGGGGCGUUGGCAGCGGGGGUCUUGCCGCCUUCCGGUCCUCUGCAUGCCAGGCACCACCUGGGGCCGGGCCAGGGCAGGCUGCCUGGACACCAUGGACCUGCCCAGCUGUAGGGGAGGUGUGUCCUGCAGCCCUACCCGAGGCCCAGGCCUGCGUGGCUGAGAGGACUGAGGACGGCUGACCCCCUUGGCACUUCCCCCGGGCCAGAGGGCAGCCUGGCAGCCCUGGACUCCGGGAGGGCCGAGUCUGGGGAGCUGGACGACGUCACAUUCCACUCUUGAUGAUGCCGCCCCAGUCCUACAAUCUGGACAGCAGGAGAAGCUGCCCAUUUCCUCCAUCUCCGGUCCCUGGAGGUUCCCCGGAUCCUUUCAGGGAAGACCAUGGGCCCUAAACGAUCUUCAUAACAAAACUGAGAAGUGGCCUGGCUUCUUCACUGCGUGCCUGUGUGCUGGGAUCUAGCGUGGCCCGACUGGGCAGCUCCUUUCCUUCCCUGACGCUGCUCCAGGGGAAAGAAGGACCAGGGUCAAUCCGGGGUGCCCCAGGUGGAUCAGCGAAUGCCCCUGAAGCCAGGUGCCAGUUGCAUCCCCGUCAGAUGCCCCCACCCCAGUCUCCUGAGCCUCAUUAGUCACCCCUCAUUUUCCUCUGGGGACCCCAGGCCCCAGCUCCUGUCUGGUUAGAGGCUGAAGGGGUCUGAGCGACACCUACCCUAGGGGACCUCCGGAGGGGUCUUGGUGUCCUCUGACUUCUGUCCUCAGAAGGGAGCUCAGAAUGCAGCUGAGGCUUCCCCUGGGGCCCAGGGUGUCUGUGUCCGAGCCACAGCCAGAGUGUGCCCUGGAGAGUCGCUGGGAUGCACGGUGGGCUCUCGUCAUCCUGUCCCCACUCCAGGCUCAGGCUGGAGCCGUGAUGGCACCGCUGCACUCCAACCUGGGCAACAGAGUGAGACCCUGUCUCUAUAAAAUAAAAACAAAAAUAAAGAAGA